UGAACUGUCUAUAGUUUACAUACAAGUCAUUGCUCAUUUCAAAUUUAGAUCGUUUUGAAUUCGUUUAUGUUUAAAAUAAAAUAAGCCAUAGAGUAUCGCAUAUACCGGUCUGUCCCUUAUUCAUCUAAGAAAAAAACUCCCUAAUAACUAAGGCAAUCUUUAAAUUGUUUUAAAAAAUGCCGCCCCACGGUUCUGGAAAAUGUUGCGGCGACUCCAGUCACCAGCAUGAAGAGCCUGAGAAAGGGAUUCAGUAUAGUUUAUAUACCAAAAUAAAUAUGAGCGAUUUGGAAUGUUUAAAUGAGUCAGUGGAAGGAUCCGGAAAGACUGUUUUUAAACCUUGGGAAGAAAGGUUGGAGCGGACUAGGUUUGUUGAGUCAGAUGUAGAUGAAGAACUCCUGUUCAACAUUCCAUUCACAGGCAACAUUAAGCUGAAGGGAAUAAUUGUGAUUGGAGAAAACACAGAUUCAUAUCCUUCAAAAAUGAGACUAUUUAAAAACAGACCAUUUAUGACUUUUGAUGACACAUCAGCUGCACCAGACCAAGAGUUUGAGUUACAAAAAGACACAGAGGGAGAAUUAGAAUAUGCCACCAAGGUAACUAUCUUCAGCAAUGUGAACCACUUGUCUAUUCAUUUUCCUGGAAACUUUGGAGAUGAACACACAAAAAUAAAUUAUAUUGGACUGAAGGGGGAAUUUUCAGAAGCCCAUAGGCAUGGAGUGACUAUUUGCAAUUAUGAGUUGAGACCUAAUGUUGCUGAUCAUGCUAAAACUAUGGAUAAUGUUAGUAGGGAAAUUUCUUAAGUUAUGAUAGCUUGCCCGAAAGUGUUUUACAAGAUAUUAAUAACAAUUUGCAUUAUUUUUUUGUAUAUUUAAGCAGCAGGUUGAAAAUACAGGUACAGAGCAUUUAAGAACUACUAAAUGUGACCUUUUUAAGGCUGCCAAUCAAGGUUGCAGGAAAUCAUGUUUGUUUUUGAAUAAAAAUGUUUCUUUUUAUUGAA
Molecule: unclassified non-coding RNA, 997 nt
Filed under: Anthonomus grandis grandis
Lineage: Eukaryota; Metazoa; Arthropoda; Insecta; Coleoptera; Curculionidae
Description: pITH domain-containing protein GA19395
Source: RNAcentral